AGGGCGCGCGGUGGAUGCCUAGGAAACGGGAGGCGAAGAAGGACGUGGCAGGCUGCGAAAAGCGACGGUGAGCUGCGAGCGAGCGUUGACCCGUCGAUGUCCGAAUGGGGAAACCCACCCAACGAGAGUUGGGAGCGAAAGCGCGAACCGGGUGAAGUGAACCAUCUCAGUAACCCGAGGAAAAGAAAUCGAAGAGAUUCUCCAAGUAGCGGCGAGCGAAAGGGGAGGAGCCCAAAUCAUAUACGUGAGAUAGCCCACAGGCGUUGCGUAUAUGAGGUUAAAGGGCCAUCUGAGGUACUGCUGUGGAAGUAUCGAGGCGAAAUCAUGUUUAGUCGAAUGAACUGGGAAGUUCAACCGAAGAAGGUGAAAGUCCUGUAGGCGAAAGGCAUGAGGAGUCUUAAGGUGGAACCUGAGUAAGGCGGGGCACGAGGAACCCCGUCUGAAUUUGGGGAGACCAUUCUCCAAGGCUAAAUACUACCCGUUUACCGAUAGUGAAGUAGUACCGUGAGGGAAAGGUGAAAAGUACCCCGGGAGGGGGAUGAAAGAGAACCUGAAACCGCGUGUCCACAAGAAGUCGGAGCACGAAAGUGCGACGGCAUGCCUUUUGAUUAAUGCGCCUGCGAGUUGUGUUGUGUGGCGAGGUUAAGUCGGGAAAGACGAAGCCGAAGGGAAACCGAGUCCGAAUAGGGCGACAAGUCACAUGAUGCAGACCCGAAGCCAGAUGAGCUACCCAUGACCAGGAAGAAGGUGGGCUAAACCCCACUGGAGGUCCGAACCAGUUGCUAGUGAAAAAGCAUUGGAUGAGUUGUGGGUAGGAGUGAAAAGCUAAUCGAAUCUGGUGAUAGCUGGUUCUCCCCGAAACGUAUUUAGGUACGGCCUUGCAUGGUCAGUCAUGGAGGUAGAGCACUGGAUGGGGUAGGGGGCGUGAGCCUUCCGAACUCAACCAAACUCCGAAUGCCAUGACUUAAAGUGCAGGAGACAGACUACGAGGGAUAAGCUCCGUGGUCGAAAGGGAAACAGCCCAGACCGUCAGUUAAGGUCCCAAAUGCCUGACUAAGUGUUAAAGGAAGUUAUGAGCCUGAGACAUCCAGGAGGUUGGCUCAGAAGCAGCCAUCCUUAAAAGAGUGCGUAACAGCUCACUGGUUGAGGCACAUUGCGCCGAAGAUGUAAGGGGGCUGAAGUCAGGAACCGAAGCUGCGGAACUGAGAAGUUGGUAGGGGAGCGUUGGACAGUAGGGAGAAGGUGUACCCGUGAGGGGCGCUGGACGAAGUCCAAGUGUGGAUGCAGGCCCGAGUAGCGAGAGGAAGGUGAGAAUCCUUCCCCCCUGAAGCCCAAGGGUACCUGGGGAAGGUUUGUCCACCCAGGGUUAGGCGGGACCCUAAGGAAAAGGUGAAAGCCGUAUCUGAUGGGAAACAGGUUAAUAAUCCUGUCCUUGGGAGCUGGAGUGAAGCGGUGACGCAGGAGGAGAAGUACCGUGGUCAAGUGGCACGGCCAUCUAAGUGACGAGUUAUGGUGCGCAGGCAAAUCCACGCACAAAAGGCGAGUCAUGACGGGGAGUGGCGCAGUGAUGCGUUGCGACGGUAUAGAUUCACACUGCCGAGAAAAACCGCUAAACGAUGAAGGCUUUCAAACCGUUCUGUAAACCGACACAGGUGGGCUGGCAUAGAAUGCUAAGGGGGACGAGAUAACUUCCGCUAAGGAACUAGGCAAAAUGGCCUCGUAACUUAGGGAGAAGAGGCACUUGAGAUUGUGGGAAACUGCAAUAGCAAGUCGCAGAGAGUAGGUCCAGGCGACUGUUUACCAAAAACACAUGACUCUGCAAACUUCUAAAGAGGAAGUAUAGGGUCUGACGCCUGCCCAGCACCGGAAGGUUAAGGGGAGCUGUGAUGAGCGGUGAACUGAAGCCCCGGUAAACGGCGGCCGUAACUAUAACGGUCCUAAGGUAGCGAAAUUCCUUGUCGGGCAAGUUCCGACGUGCAUGAAUGGCGUAACGAUCUGGACACUGUCUUAGCGGGAGGCUCGGUGAAACUACAAUCCGGGUGAAGAUGCCCGGUACCUACGGCUAGACGGAAAGACCCCAUGAAGCUUGACUGUACCCUGAUAUUGUGCUUUAGCGCAUCAUGUACAGGAUAGGUGGGAGGCUGAGAACCAUUCUCGUCAGGGGAUGGGGAGCCGGAAGUGGGAUACCACCCUUGAUGUGUUGGAGUGCUAACUUAAGCCACUAAAGGUGGCAGAGGACAGUGUCAGGCGGGCAGUUUGACUGGGGCGGUCGCCUCCCAAAAGGUAACGGAGGCGUACAAAGGUCACCUCAGGCUGGUUGGUAAUCAGCCGGUGAGUGCAAAGGCAAAAGGUGGCCUGACUGUGAGAGCGACGGCUCGAGCAGACGCGAAAGCGGGUCUUAGUGAUCCUGUGGCACUGAAUGGAAGGGCCAUGGCUAAACGGACAAAAGUUACUCUGGGGAUAACAGGCUGAUACCGUCCGAGAGUUCACAUCGACGACGGUGUUUGGCACCUCGAUGUCGACUCAUCGCAUCCUGGGGCUGAAGCAGGUCCCAAGGGUUGGGCUGUUCGCCCAUUAAAGCGGUACGUGAGUUGGGUUCAGAACGUCGUGAGACAGUUCGGUCCCUAUCUACCGUAGGCGAAGGAGACUUGAGGGGAGUCGCUCCCAGUACGAGAGGACCGGGGCGAAUGUACCAAUGGUGAACCAGUUAUCCUGCCAGGGGUAAAAGCUGGGUAGCCAAGUGCAAAAUGAUAAGCGCUGAAAGCAUCUAAGCGCGAAGCAAACCCCAAGAUAAGGUCUCCCACUCGAAAGAGGUAAGGGUGGUUCGAGAACAGGACCUUGA
RNAcentral lists this ribosomal RNA (2842 nucleotides) under hot springs metagenome. RNAcentral's name for it is "bacterial LSU rRNA". It matches the Rfam family "Bacterial large subunit ribosomal RNA". The record is from RNAcentral.